CCAUUAGUUGUCUUGUCCUUUCUGGCUGCAUAUGUGCCAUGUUCAUACUUUUUUUUUUUUUCAGGGAACAACUGUAUUUUACCUUUUCUUGGCAUCUGGGACAUCUUCACUGCCACAUAUUCCUUUAGCUGAAAUAAGAGGACUGCACUGUCAAUGGAUUGACUGUGGAAGGGGGAAGAAAGCAUAAAUGAAAAGGAACAGGAGCUACGAUAAUUAUCCUAAGAAGAGCUGAAAUGCUGCUCCUAUUAUUUUUAAGCUUAUUUGUUUUGCUGUUGGAUCAACUCAUUGUUUAAGUCAUCUCAUUCUCAGUCAAACCUAGUAUUCAUUUUUUCAGAAGAACAGCCAGGCUUUUAAAUGUUUUGCACUGUAUCCGGAGACUGGGACAAGUAUUUGGCAUUGCUGAGAACAGGACCUACUGCCCCAUCUUGACUGCAGAAACAGAAUAUAAAACACGCUCAAGAUGAAAAGCCUUUAUCCUUACAUUUUAGCACUUUGUGGACAUUGGCAGUAAUUGUUUUACCCGCUUAAAGGGAGGACAAAUGAAAAAGGAAGAAAACAGCCAAGUAAGAAGGAAGUUCAGAGAGCCUUUCAAACGUGCUCUGUUCUGCUUAGGGCCAAGUUUUGCUUCCUUUCCAGUGCCAGGUUGUCUGUAGAGGGUUUUUUGUUUGCUUGUUUGAAGGAGGUGGGAAGCUAGAUUUAUUUAUAUUAAUACAGUUGCAUCAUCCAGGUACUGAGGUGUAAUAUCAAUCAUAAAAGUGUCAUGGUGCUUGAGGAUCUCUUUUCUGUAGGACUAUGGCAACAUCAAUGCAUUUUGGAAAGAUGCAGUUGCAAAAGAAAACUGUGCAUAUCUGGACAUCUCAAACUUAGUUCACAUAAAGGCUGAAGGGGGAAGGAGAGGCUAACUGAGAUUAUGGAAUGGUAAUUCAUUAGGUCAUUGUGAUUUGUCUGCAUUAUUUUUCAAAUCAUUUUCUAUCCCUAGUAAAUGAUGCACAAGUAUUUUUUAUUUGUUUGUUUAGAUAGUCAACAUCAUCUGUUUCUUGAAAGAUGUGCGUUAUCCACAGAUUGACAGAGAUAUGGAUAAUUUCUAUCUGUCUAAUUUUGAAUCAGAACUUGCUCACAUCAGGAGUUCUCUUUCCAGCAAUAAGCACACACUGGACACUUAGGCAUUAGUAAGAAGCUCGUAUGCUUAAAUAUAUACAAACCGUAAAGCCUGAGCUGACACUCGUUUUUCCCUCCAAAGCUUUUUGUUUUGUUUUCCUUAUUCCUGUUACCCCUUGGAGGAGGUGACCCAGGCCUUUUGUUUUACUACAGGAUCUGGGCUAAAAAGCUGCAGUUUUGUGGUUUCCUUGGAGUCCAGUUCUCAGUAGAGAAGAAUCUUGAUAGUGUAUUUUAUUUUUCUUCCCCACCAGUUCUUCUGUUUUCCUUCUCCUCAGACUGAUAAUCUCCUGCCUUUAUGGUUGUUACUCUAAGCCUUUGGCAGCUCUCCUUUUCUCUUUCUCUUUUCCAUUUUUAAAUAUUUUUUUUUUUCAAGGGAACCCUGGCAGCAAAAUGCCCUCACCUCAGACUUUUGGCUUGAGUCUCAGACAUUUGAGGGUUUUUGCAGGCCCUCAGGCUAUUUAAUGCUGCAGCUGUGACAAUGACUUUAAGUACAGCAGAGGAAGAAUAAAAAUUUGGAUCCUGUUUAGGCA
RNAcentral lists this long non-coding RNA (1688 nucleotides) under Struthio camelus australis. RNAcentral's name for it is "lncRNA (ENSSCUG00000017002.1)". Lineage: Eukaryota; Metazoa; Chordata; Aves; Struthioniformes; Struthionidae. The record is from RNAcentral.